This 486-nucleotide ribosomal RNA is filed under the name uncultured bacterium. RNAcentral describes it as "bacterial SSU rRNA". It matches the Rfam family "Bacterial small subunit ribosomal RNA", at positions 28 to 524 of the family's 1533-position model. The record is from RNAcentral.
GAUGAACGCUGGCGGCGUGCCUAAUACAUGCAAGUCGAACGAGGUGCCUUUGUAGCAAUACGAAGGUAUCCUAGUGGCGAACGGGUGAGUAACGCGUUGGUGACCUACCCCAAAGUGUGGGAUAACAGAUCGAAAGAUCUGCUAAUACCGCAUGUGGUCUUCGGAUUUAGAAACUGAUGACUAAAGGAGCAAUUCGCUUUGGGAGGGACCUGCGUCCCAUCAGCUAGUUGGUGAGGUAAUGGCUCACCAAGGCUACGACGGGUAGGGGACCUGAGAGGGUGGCCCCCCACAAUGGAACUGAAACACGGUCCAUACACCUACGGGUGGCAGCAGUAGGGAAUAUUGCACAAUGGGCGAAAGCCUGAUGCAGCAACGCCGCGUGUGCGAUGAAGGCCUUGGGUCGUAAAGCACUUUUCUGAGGGAUGAGCAAGGACAGUACCUCAGGAAUAAGUCUCGGCUAAACUACGUGCCAGCAGCCGCGGUAAU